RNAcentral lists this ribosomal RNA (383 nucleotides) under uncultured bacterium. Its description in RNAcentral is "bacterial SSU rRNA". It matches the Rfam family "Bacterial small subunit ribosomal RNA", at positions 47 to 426 of the family's 1533-position model. The record is from RNAcentral.
CCUAACACAUGCAAGUCGAACGGUAACAGGAAGCAGCUUGCUGCUUCGCUGACGAGUGGCGGACGGGUGAGUAAUGUCUGGGAAGCUGCCUGAUGGAGGGGGAUAACUACUGGAAACGGUAGCUAAUACCGCAUAAUGUCGCAAGACCAAAGAGGGGGACCUUCGGGCCUCUUGCCAUCGGAUGUGCCCAGAUGGGAUUAGCUAGUAGGUGGGGUAACGGCUCACCUAGGCGACGAUCCCUAGCUGGUCUGAGAGGAUGACCAGCCACACUGGAACUGAGACACGGUCCAGACUCCUACGGGAGGCAGCAGUGGGGAAUAUUGCACAAUGGGCGCAAGCCUGAUGCAGCCAUGCCGCGUGUAUGAAGAAGGCCUUCGGGUUGU